UAGAAAUACUAGUAAUAGUAGGGGCGGAUGUAGCCAAGUGUCAAGGC
RNAcentral lists this transfer RNA (47 nucleotides) under Myrcia vestita. RNAcentral describes it as "partial tRNA-His". The record is from RNAcentral. Lineage: Eukaryota; Viridiplantae; Streptophyta; Magnoliopsida; Myrtales; Myrtaceae.